UACGGGGGGAGCAAGCGUUGUUCGGAUUUACUGGGCGUAAAGGGCGCGUAGGCGGCCACCGCAAGUCGACUGUGAAAUCUCCGGGCUUAACCCGGAAAGGUCAGCCGAUACUGCGGGGCUAGAGUGCAGAAGGGGCAACUGGAAUUCUCGGUGUAGCGGUCAAAUGCGUAGAUAUCGGAAAGAACAUCAGUGGCGAAGGCGGCUUCCUGGAUUCAUACUGACGCUGAGGCGCGAAAGCAUGGGUAGCAAACAGG
This 254-nucleotide ribosomal RNA is filed under the name uncultured bacterium. RNAcentral describes it as "partial 16S ribosomal RNA". It matches the Rfam family "Bacterial small subunit ribosomal RNA", at positions 524 to 776 of the family's 1533-position model. The record is from RNAcentral.